RNAcentral lists this ribosomal RNA (452 nucleotides) under Staphylococcus aureus 1101-1 2010. The record is from RNAcentral. Lineage: Bacteria; Bacillati; Bacillota; Bacilli; Caryophanales; Staphylococcaceae.
AGAUGAGAUUUCCCAACUUCGGUUAUAAGAUCCCUCAAAGAUGAUGAGGUUAAUAGGUUCGAGGUGGAAGCAUGGUGACAUGUGGAGCUGACGAAUACUAAUCGAUCGAAGACUUAAUCAAAAUAAAUGUUUUGCGAAGCAAAAUCACUUUUACUUACUAUCUAGUUUUGAAUGUAUAAAUUACAUUCAUAUGUCUGGUGACUAUAGCAAGGAGGUCACACCUGUUCCCAUGCCGAACACAGAAGUUAAGCUCCUUAGCGUCGAUGGUAGUCGAACUUACGUUCCGCUAGAGUAGAACGUUGCCAGGCAUAAUAUUAAUCCACAGUAGCUCAGUGGUAGAGCUAUCGGCUGUUAACCGAUCGGUCGUAGGUUCGAGUCCUACCUGUGGAGCCAUGGCUCCUUGGUCAAGCGGUUAAGACACCGCCCUUUCACGGCGGUAACACGGGUUCGAG